RNAcentral lists this long non-coding RNA (1010 nucleotides) under Gallus gallus (chicken). RNAcentral describes it as "lncRNA (ENSGALG00010018827.1)". Lineage: Eukaryota; Metazoa; Chordata; Aves; Galliformes; Phasianidae. The record is from RNAcentral.
AAAUAAGCCACAUUCCAUGGAACUCUUUGUUCUUGUGUGUUUAGGGGGAAAAAGUGAUACCUAUAAGCAGUGCUCUCCAAGCUUUAGUAGAUUUUUCUCUGUCUGCUGUAUUCAGGUGGCUUUUGUGCAGAGAACUGCUCCUUGCAGAGCAUGCCUUGCCCAACCCCAAGGUGGGAAUUAAGCUCUUUGCCUGAGAAGUGAUAUUAUCAGCUCUGCUCUCAAAGAAACCCCAUUGUGCCUGAAUAGAGCUGGAGUAAGUGGGGAUAGAGGCGAAGAGACCAUAAUGACUCCUUUUUGAAGCCACACAAAAGGCAGCCAGGACUUCAGCAGGAAACCUGAGGAGUUGAGAGGCAGCACCGAGGUCUCAGUGGACAUGGGAAUCAGAAUGGCCUGGGUUGAAAAGGACCACAGUGACCAUCCAGUUCCAACCCCAUGCUAUGUGCAGGAUCGCAAACCAGCAGGCCAGGCUGCCCAGAGCCACAUCCAGCCUGGCCUUGAAUGCCUCCAGGGAUGGGGCAUCCACAACCUCCUUGGGCAACCUGUUCAGUGCGUCACCACCCUCUGGGUGAAAAACUUCCUCCUAAUAUCCAACCUAAACCUCCCCUGUCUCAGUUUAAAACCAUUCCCCCUUGUCCUGUCACUAUCCACCCUUGUAAACAGCCAUUCCCCCUCCUGUUUAUACGCUCCCUUCAAGUAUUGGAAGGCCACAAUGAGGCCUCGUUGGAGCCUUCUCUUCUCUAAGCUAAACAAGCCCAGUUCCCUCAACCUUUCUUCAUUGGAGACUUCUACAGCUCUCAUGACUUUUGCCUUCCGCACUCCUCUGCAGCAUCCCAUGUCCUGUCCCAUACGUAGGACCAUUGCUGGAGUUACACAAUGAUCACGGAUUUGUCCCACUGCCAUUCCACCACAUGCACUACAUUCUCUCCUAAAUAUCUGUGCCCAGAAAUGAGGCUCUGUUUGUCUGUGGUGCCUGCAAGCUGUCCCAUGUUUUGCAUUGAGCUCUGGGUGCU